CGGGUGAGUAAUGUAUGGGGAUCUGCCUGAUGGGGGGGGAUAACUACUGGAAACGGUAGCUAAUACCGCAUAAUGUCUGCGGACCAAAGCGGGGGACCUCCGGGCCUCGCGCCAUCAGAUGAACCCAUAUGGGAUUAGCUAGUAGGUAAGGUAACGGCUUACCUAGGCGACGAUCCCUAGCUGGUCUGAGAGGAUGAUCAGCCACACUGGGACUGAGACACGGUCCAG
Molecule: ribosomal RNA, 228 nt
Filed under: uncultured bacterium
Lineage: Bacteria
Description: partial 16S ribosomal RNA
Rfam family: Bacterial small subunit ribosomal RNA
Source: RNAcentral